Octodon degus (degu) is the source of this 1372-nucleotide long non-coding RNA. RefSeq lists it as uncharacterized. Lineage: Eukaryota; Metazoa; Chordata; Mammalia; Rodentia; Octodontidae. The transcript is spliced from 3 exons. The record is from RefSeq and is a predicted model, not a curated record.
GCAAGAUUGUGUGCAUCGUCCUUGGUGACCAACCCAUUAGCUUUGCUUGGGGGAGAUUAGAUCCCUUUAUCUGCUUUACAGAGGAAAACAGAAACAAUGGAAUACAAAAGAAAACAACGACAAAAAAACUCUUAAGAUUCAAGUAAAAGAAGAUAGAAAGUGGAGAAGCAAGUUCUGGUUACAAACCACAGCCCCAUAAUUUUACACUCUACAAACAUCUAAAUAAGCAAAAUCAUGCCGCAUAAACAUGCUGAUAAAGGACUACCACAGUGUUUCAUAGCCUUAGGGGAGAGAAAAGACAGCAUAUAUACUUUUUUUUCCCCACAAAAGAGACAUUCUCUAUAGCUUCAGAAAAACUACUGUUUCUAAAAAAAAAAAAAAAAAACUGCAAUGUCUCUCCAAUUUCACAUUUAAAGUAUCAUAAACAGGGACAUUUAGAGAGAUUAAGAUGUUUGUGAAUCAAAAGUGUGCAUAAUUGCUAGUGAAGCAUUUAGCUUGAGCAGCUCUCUAAGACCCUGAAGUAGCAAUUAGUCCCUAAAUAUAAGAUGCACUUAUUCAAUAUUAAACAGAAAGCAAACUCUGUGUUUAAUACCCAACCAGCCCAUGGACGUCCCCCAGUAGCUCUCGUCGAUAUACAUGGACCCAAAGGCGUAUUUUUAUUGUCAGUUCAUAGACUUGUAAUUCCUGGUUCAGGGGGAAAAGCCAGUCAGUUGAAGGCAGUGUACCUGCGCCUACUGUUGGGGUAGGUCGCUGUGAGGGAGGAGGAGCGAGGGCGGGUUCUAUGGACGAGUGUCGCACGCAAGCGUGAAGAAGGCACAGUGUGCCCAUCGUCGUGGAUAACCACUACGCGCUAGUAAGCAGAGCUUGCUUCUUGUUGGCUGGCACUGAACACUGCUGUCUGACUCCAGCACCGGGAGCAGCUGCCCUGCAGACAGGCAAGGCCACGCUGGGCGUCCUGCUCGGAGGCGCACGACGGCAGUGGUCCCCGCACAGCCCGCGGGGGCAGCGCGGCGCUCAGCAGCUGCAGCUCGCGCUCGGCGCUCAGCCCUUCGCGAGAUGGGGGGCCGGGAAAUGUGGAGGUCACACGCAACCGAGCACAACUGCGCCGGGAAGAAGGACAGCGAGAGCCGCGCGGCGGGGUGGCUGCGCCUCGAGACCGCAGGUGUUAUAACAGAGUUGGGAAAAGACAGCAAUUUAGAGCGUUUGAAGUGAAAGAUGCAAUAAAAGAAGAAAUUGGAUAACACUCCCAUACAAGAUACUCGGAAUCAAAGUGUCUCUGGCAGGUGCUCAUCUCAAGAGAACGCAAUUGUACGGAAAAGUUAACGCCAUCCCUCACCCCAACACAGGACCACUUUAUGGCAGGGUUCCAAGC